AGUGAACGCUGGCGGUAGGCCUAACACAUGCAAGUCGAACGGCAGCACAGUAAGAGCUUGCUCUUACGGGUGGCGCGUGGCGGACGGGUGCGGAAUACAUCGGAAUCUACUUUUUCGUGGGGGCUAACGUAGGGAAACUUACGCUAAUACCGCAUACGACCUACGGGUGAAAGCAGGGGAUCUUCGGACCUUGCGCGAGGGAAUGAGCCGAUGUCGGAUUAGAUAGUUGGCGGGGUAGAGGCCAACCAAGGCGACGAUCCGUAGCUGGUCUGAGAGGAUGAUCAGCCACCCUGGCACUGAGACACGGCCCAGACUCCUACGGGAGGCCGCAGUGGGGAAUAUUGCACAAUGGGCGCAAGCCUGAUCCAGCCAUACCGCGUGGGUGAAGAACGCGCUCGGGUUGGAAAGCCCUUUUGUUCGGAAAGAAAAGCAGCAGGUUAAUACCCCGCUGUUCUGACGGUACCCAAAGAAUAAGCACCGGCUAACUUCGUG
Molecule: ribosomal RNA, 492 nt
Filed under: uncultured bacterium
Lineage: Bacteria
Description: partial 16S ribosomal RNA
Rfam family: Bacterial small subunit ribosomal RNA
Source: RNAcentral